GAUUGUGCAGCCUUUAUUGGACAUUGAUCUUUCAGCAAAGUGCAGUUACAUUUUCCAUUAAUUUACAGUAACACAGUUUAACUCUGAUACCCUAGACUGUUGACCCAGGUGAGAUGUAAUGCUAAGUACUGGUUUAGGUUAAGAUGCCCCAAACAUCAUUACUGUCUGAAUGCUAAGUGCUGAGAAAAAGAAGAUACCCAAUCCACUAGCUUUAGGAUAAGGUUUCUGUUACCUGUAUUAGCUUUUAAAUGAAAUGAAAUCCAGAUCCUUGUCUUUAGUAGGUCACUCCAUUCAUUCAAAUGACAUUCAUUCUUUAAUGGAAUUAAAAGACAUUACUUCAAGAAAAUUAUAGAUGUUUUGUGAUUAUAGUUUUGUGUGAAUAUAAGUGACACAAGAUAAAAUGUAUAUUUUAAAAGAAAUAUAUAUGGCUUUUAAUAAUUAAAAAUGUUUCCAUUUCUACUGAAGCCAACAAUAA
RNAcentral lists this long non-coding RNA (475 nucleotides) under Bos taurus (domestic cattle). RNAcentral describes it as "long non-coding RNA NONBTAT027435". The record is from RNAcentral. Lineage: Eukaryota; Metazoa; Chordata; Mammalia; Artiodactyla; Bovidae.